AUGUGUAAAGGUUCUGACCUGCUAACUGACCUCGCUGAAACCUUUGUCAAUCUAAGAAGAUAUGAUAUCAAGCUUAACCCGUCGAAGUGUACAUUCGAAGUUCCAGGUGGAAAGUUACUUGAUUUCCUCGUUUCCGUAUGUGGGAUUGAUGCAAACCCAGAGAAAGUUGGCGCAAUACUCCGAAUGAGAUGCCCUGUGCGCAUACACGACGUUCAGAAGCUUACUGGUUGUUUGGCCGCUUUGAGUCGAUUCAUCUCUCAUAUCAGUGAAAAGGCAUUGCCUCUUUACCGAUUAAUGAAGAAAUCUGAUAAGCUAGAGUGGACUCCUGAAGCUGAUGCAGCGUUUCUAGAGCUCAAAACCCUACUUUCCAUCCAGCCGGUGCUCGUCGCUCCAAUCAGCAAAAAGCCUUUACUGCUUUAUAUUGCAGCCACUGGACAAGUUGUCAGUACAGUACUCACGAUCGAGCGGGAAGAAGAAGGUAAAGCCUAUAAGGUUCAACGUCCAGUGUACUAUAUUUAUGAAGUCUUAACUCCGUCCAAGCAGAGAUAUCCGCAUUAUCAGAAGCUUGUCUAUGGAAAUUACUAG
RNAcentral lists this ribosomal RNA (585 nucleotides) under Triticum aestivum (bread wheat). RNAcentral describes it as "partial small subunit ribosomal RNA". Lineage: Eukaryota; Viridiplantae; Streptophyta; Magnoliopsida; Poales; Poaceae. The record is from RNAcentral.